This 301-nucleotide ribosomal RNA is filed under the name uncultured bacterium. RNAcentral describes it as "partial 16S ribosomal RNA". It matches the Rfam family "Bacterial small subunit ribosomal RNA", at positions 509 to 807 of the family's 1533-position model. The record is from RNAcentral.
CAGUAGCCGCGGUAAAACGGAGGGUGCAAGCGUUAAUCGGAAUUACUGGGCGUAAAGCGCACGCAGGCGGUUUGUUAAGUCAGAUGUGAAAUCCCCGGGCUCAACCUGGGAACUGCAUCUGAUACUGGCAAGCUUGAGUCUCGUAGAGGGGGGUAGAAUUCCAGGUGUAGCGGUGAAAUGCGUAGAGAUCUGGAGGAAUACCGGUGGCGAAGGCGGCCCCCUGGACGAAGACUGACGCUCAGGUGCGAAAGCGUGGGGAGCAAACAGGAUUAGAUACCCCGGUAGUCCCUGUCUCUUAUAC